Molecule: ribosomal RNA, 465 nt
Filed under: uncultured bacterium
Lineage: Bacteria
Description: partial 16S ribosomal RNA
Rfam family: Bacterial small subunit ribosomal RNA
Source: RNAcentral
GACGAACGCUGGCGGCGUGCUUAACACAUGCAAGUCGAACGGAAAGGCCCUGCUUGCAGGGUACUCGAGUGGCGAACGGGUGAGUAACACGUGGGUGAUCUGCCCUGCACUUCGGGAUAAGCCUGGGAAACUGGGUCUAAUACCGGAUAGGAGCCAUUUUUAGUGUGAUGGUUGGAAAGUUUUUUCGGUGUAGGAUGAGCUCGCGGCCUAUCAGCUUGUUGGUGGGGUAAUGGCCUACCAAGGCGGCGACGGGUAGCCGGCCUGAGAGGGUGGACGGCCACAUUGGGACUGAGAUACGGCCCAGACUCCUACGGGAGGGAGCAGUGGGGAAUCUUGCACAAUGGGCGCAAGCCUGAUGCAGCGACGCCGCGUGGGGGAUGACGGCCUUCGGGUUGUAAACUCCUUUCGCUAGGGACGAAGCUUUUUGUGACGGUACCUAGAUAAGAAGCACCGGCUAACUACGUG